ACCAGACUCCUACGGGAGGCAGCAGUGGGGAAUAUUGCACAAUGGGGGGAACCCUGAUGCAGCGACGCCGCGUGGGUGAAGGAGCACCUCGGUGCGUAAAGCCCUCUCGGCAGGGAAGAAACAGACGGUACCUGACUAAGAAGCCCCGGCUAACUACGUGCCAGCAGCCGCGGUAAUACGUAGGGGGCAAGCGUUAUCCGGAUUUACUGGGCGUAAAGGGAGCGUAGACGGUGAAGCAAGUCUGAAGUGAAAGGCGGGGGCUCAACCCCCGGACUGCUUUGGAAACUGUUUGACUGGAGUGCAGGAGAGGUAAGUGGAAUUCCUGGUGUAGCGGUGAAAUGCGUAGAUAUCAGGAGGAACACCGGUGGCGAAGGCGGCCUGCUGGACUGCGACUGACGUUGAGGCCCGAAAGCGUGGGGAGCAAACAGGAUUAGAUACCCUGGUA
This 445-nucleotide ribosomal RNA is filed under the name uncultured bacterium. Its description in RNAcentral is "partial 16S ribosomal RNA". It matches the Rfam family "Bacterial small subunit ribosomal RNA", at positions 330 to 792 of the family's 1533-position model. The record is from RNAcentral.